This is a long non-coding RNA of Amphiprion ocellaris (clown anemonefish), 1878 nucleotides long. NCBI's taxonomy places the organism in Eukaryota, Metazoa, Chordata, Actinopteri, Pomacentridae. The record is from Ensembl.
GUUCAAAUUGAUUGACGGACGUAGCUCCAGUUUACUCCUGAACGCUCCUGGACAGGUACGCGCUGUGCAGCAUGCGAAACACUGCAACAGAAGUCAGUGCAUCAGCAGUUUCUAUAGGUGACGAGAGAAAGAAGCUGCUGCAGUGUGACAUUGUGGAGCAUUAGGAGAAUUGAGAUGUCCUUAAUGAUGGCGGUGGAAAUUGAUUUCCAGGACAAGUGGAGGACGGGCACAAAGGAGAAAUGAAAUAAGAGAGAUGAGAUGCACCGGUGGCUUGGCUGAAGCUGAAAGAAAUCGAGCCAAGAAGUUAGUAAAAGUUUGUGUGGUCUGGGGCCAUUCUUAAAUCAGAUAGACUCUGUUCUGUACGCCCAAGUUAUUAAAGAAGGUAGCUCAUCUUAUCUCAAAAUAAUGUGAAAGUCUCAGCUUUAUCUUUGGAAAAUGUACAGAAAGACCUGCAUUUAACCUGCAAGCUCAGGCACAGUAUCCCCGAGGACUGACUAGACUGGCCUAAUGGUGACUUUGGGAUAAUUAUUGGCAUUACUAUUCCAGCCAAAAUAUUUAAACUGUGUUUUUUUUAGAAUUUGCUACUCCCCGAGGAGAGAACACCACCUGUGUCUGCUCCUCAUUGCCUCAAUCCCCUGUGGGCUGAAGCCUUUUCCAAACACAGGCCAGCAAAAUGCAAACAGACUAAUGAGGGAUUUAUCUACUUCUCUCCUUUUGACUCAUACAACCCAGCUCCGCUCCUGCCCUGUAUUAGCAUAGUUUUUGUCCACACUGAGAUCAUAAUCCAUUUGUAUGUCCUUGAAUGUAGCACAGGAUAACAGUGAAGUCUUUUCUGUCAACAGCCCUGAAAUCACCCCAGUGUUCAGUAAUCCAAUUAAAAUGAUUCUUCCUUCCCUUAGUGCUGCCAUCCGAUCAGCGAUGCAGGGGGGUUGUUAAGCAUGUAUUACUCACUGUGGGUGGUUUGUCACAAGGAGACAGCAACACCCCAUCACAAGAAAUAUUAUACUGUGCCUUCAUUACCCUCUGGACCAAUAACAUUCUCCACAGCUAGUAAGAGGAAUACUUUUGGUUUGGCACAAAUAAUCUUUUUGCUGGGGCCAGACGCCCAAAUUGCUCACAGUGACAUGUUCUUCUUGUAGCUUACAUUUCUGUCACCAUCCCAAGGAAAUUUGCAGUCGCAGUUAAUUUUUCAAGAAAACAUCAAUUACGAGCUUUAAUGGAAAGCCCAUAUGGGCAUCCUGAGAGGGGAUGAGGAAUUCUCUCCACAAUCAUCCUAAAUAUCUUUGUGCUCUUUAUCCACUCCCAUUUUCUCUGUUUCUCUUUCCCUCCCUCCUCAUUUUUCACUUUUCAGAGAUCCAUUCUGUCUAAUUGGAGCUGAUGAGGACGGGGACUUCAUUAACGGCUUGCUAUGAAUUAUUAUGCAGUGUAAUUGGCCCUCCAGUCCCAUAGGAGGUGCCCUGCUCCAGCUGGUCCAACUGGAGGAGGCUCCUCUGGCCCAGGUGUAAGCUUUUGUACAGCUGAGGUCUGACUUUAUCCCAGCAGCUGUUCCAUUUGUCUCCAUGUCAGAAAGUCCAUCAGAUUCUGACUUGAAUGUUUCCAUGUAUUGUUGAAUUAAAUGGGUUUUCAACAGAUACUUUAGAAUUGCCCAUAUUUAUAGUCUAUUUGUAAAAAUAAUCAUUGAAAUCUUUUUGUUCCAUAAUCACGAGUUAAUUAACAUGUGUUAAUGAAUUUUGAGAUGCUAAUUGAGAGCCAGUGUUUACACCACAAUAAGCAAUGCAUUCAGGCAGAUGAAAAGAGCUCCUGACUGAUGUAUGGCUGGCUGCUGCUGCACGGCCCAUCGCUCCUUAAAAUGUACAUUUAAUAAAUCAUGUCGCCCUG